RNAcentral lists this non-coding RNA (29 nucleotides) under Rattus norvegicus (Norway rat). The record is from RNAcentral. Lineage: Eukaryota; Metazoa; Chordata; Mammalia; Rodentia; Muridae.
UGGAACUAGAGUUAUAGGUGGUUAUGAGU